CAGUCGCCGCGGUAAUACGAAGGGGGCUAGCGUUGUUCGGAUUUACUGGGCGUAAAGCGCACGUAGGCGGACUUUUAAGUCAGGGGUGAAAUCCCGGGGCUCAACCCCGGAACUGCCUUUGAUACUGGAAGUCUUGAGUAUGGUAGAGGUGAGUGGAAUUCCGAGUGUAGAGGUGAAAUUCGUAGAUAUUCGGAGGAACACCAGUGGCGAAGGCGGCUCACUGGACCAUUACUUACGCUGAGGUGCGAAAGCGUGGGGAGCAAACAGGAUUAGAUACCCCGGUAGUCCCUGUCUCUUAUAC
Molecule: ribosomal RNA, 301 nt
Filed under: uncultured bacterium
Lineage: Bacteria
Description: partial 16S ribosomal RNA
Rfam family: Bacterial small subunit ribosomal RNA
Source: RNAcentral